RNAcentral lists this ribosomal RNA (577 nucleotides) under uncultured bacterium. RNAcentral's name for it is "bacterial SSU rRNA". It matches the Rfam family "Bacterial small subunit ribosomal RNA", at positions 339 to 916 of the family's 1533-position model. The record is from RNAcentral.
CUACGGGAGGCAGCAGUGAGGAAUCUUGCGCAAUGGGCGAAAGCCUGACGCAGCCACGCCGCGUGCCGGAUGAAGGCCCUAUGGGUUGUAAACGGCUUUUAAGCAGGAAGAACGACCGGAUUUCGAUCUGGUGUGACGGUACUGCUUGAAUAAGCACCGGCUAACUCCGUGCCAGCAGCCGCGGUAAUACGGAGGGUGCAAGCGUUGUCCGGAAUCAUUGGGUGUAAAGGGUGCGUAGGCGGGCGUCUAAGUCUGGGGUGAAAUCUUGCCGCUUAACGGUAAAAUGGCCUUGGAUACUGGGCGUCUUGAGUGUAGAAGAGGUAAGUGGAAUUCGUAGUGUAGCGGUGAAAUGCAUAGAUAUUACGAAGAACAUCAGUGGCGAAGGCGGCUUACUGGUCUACAACUGACGCUGAGGCACGAAAGCGUGGGGAGCGAACAGGAUUAGAUACCCUGGUAGUCCACGCUGUAAACGAUGCAUACUAGGUGUUGGCCUUUCGGGGCCAGUGCUGCAGUUAACGCAUUAAGUAUGCCACCUGGGGAGUACGUCGGCAACGAUGAAACUCAAAGGAAUUGACGG